This 449-nucleotide ribosomal RNA is filed under the name uncultured bacterium. RNAcentral's name for it is "partial 16S ribosomal RNA". It matches the Rfam family "Bacterial small subunit ribosomal RNA", at positions 29 to 523 of the family's 1533-position model. The record is from RNAcentral.
AACGAACGCUGGCGGCAUGCCUAACACAUGCAAGUCGAACGAGAUCUUCGGGUCUAGUGGCGCACGGGUGCGUAACGCGUGGGAAUCUGCCCUUUGGUUCGGAAUAACAGUUGGAAACGACUGCUAAUACCGGAUGAUGACGAAAGUCCAAAGAUUUAUCGCCAGAGGAUGAGCCCGCGUAGGAUUAGCUAGUUGGUGUGGGAAAGGCGCACCAAGGCGACGAUCCUUAGCUGGUCUGAGAGGAUGAUCAGCCACACUGGGACUGAGACACGGACCAGAAUACUACGGGAGGCAGCAGUGGGGAAUAUUGGACAAUGGGCGAAAGCCUGAUCCAGCAAUGCCGCGUGAGUGAUGAAGGCCUUAGGGUUGUAAAGCUCUUUUACCCGGGAUGAUAAUGACAGUACCGGGAGAAUAAGCUCCGGCUAACUCCGUGCCAGCAGCCGCGGUAA